CACAGCAGCUCACAGUGUCAAGCUCUGACCCCACAGGAGAGAGUGGGGGGCGGAGGAGAGCACGCCGGGGUCCCUUUCAACCAUGGGCCCGGCACCAUGGCGCCACUGACGCCAUUAUAAAUCCAGUAUUGGGUGUGAGUGAUUGCUGGACCCAAAGUAGAAGGAGACUAGUCUGUAAAAGGAAGCCUACUGACUCUUCAAAUACCAGCAUACAGAGAUCAUGUCUUCCCAUCGCCGAACCAAGCCACCUGUUCAACGAGAGCCAGCUUUGCGCUUCUAUGGGUCCAUUUUUUUUUUUGCUUGCCAACUAUAAAAUAAGCCUAGUUUUGGUCUAAAAAUAUUUUUUCAAGCAAAAAUGGGAUUUGUUCUCCAGUUACUCACCAAAUGGGAACAACCCUGAAUUUGGAGCUUUGCGUUUCCCUAUGAAUGCUGGGCAUAUGGCUCCUAUUUACAGAGUGCCAUCUUGUGCCUUCAGAGGAGGAUACAGCCCCUCUUCGAUUUCAGUUUUACAGGAAACAUUUCAAGUUGCUGGUUUUGCAGCAGGACAGUGAGAGAGAACAGAACACUGGAGCCCUCUAGUGGUGUGAUGUAGAAGGCCGGCAUCUUAAAAUACCACACCAAGCGACUGAAGCGCUGAUCAAUGGGGAAAGCCUAGCAGAAGAGCAACCAGCCAGCCUGUGGUGAGAAGCACCUAAGUUUGUAAGGACAUUGAAAGUGUUAAGAUCAGCUUAGAAUGCGUUUUGCUUUUAUUUCACUUGACCAAAUCUGACUUGUUAUGUUUUGACUUAUAAUCACUUAAAAUUUAUCUUUUUAGUUAAUAAA
This is a long non-coding RNA of Malaclemys terrapin pileata, 822 nucleotides long. RefSeq lists it as uncharacterized. Lineage: Eukaryota; Metazoa; Chordata; Testudines; Emydidae. The record is from RefSeq and is a predicted model, not a curated record. The transcript is spliced from 3 exons.